ACCUGGUUGAUCCUGCCAGUAGGCAUAUGCUCGUCUCUAAGAUUAAGCCAUGCAUGUCUGAGUUCAUACCUAGUUAAUGUGAGACUGCGAAAGGCUCAGUACAACAGUUAUAGUUUAUUCGAUUGUGAAAAUCCAUUGGAUAACCGUGGAAAAUCUAGAGCUAAUACAUGCGAAAAAUGACCCAGCUGCCAUCUCGGUGGUAGUUGGGUGAUGCAUUUAUUAGAUUAGAACCAAUUGGCUAUAUAUUAAUUACCGUCAAAAGUAAUUGGUAUAUUGACCAGCGUGGUGAGUCUGGAUAACUGUGCCGAUCGUAUGGCCUGGAGCCGGCGACAUUUCGAUUAAAUUUCUGGCCUAUCAACUUGUUGGUAAGGUAGUGGCUUACCAAGGUGAUUACGGGUAACGGGGAAUCAGGGUUCGAUUCCGGAGAGGGAGCCUGAGAAACGGCUACCACAUCCAAGGAAGGCAGCAGGCGCGCAAAUUACCCAAUCCAGACACUGGGAGGUGGUGACGAGAAAUACCAGGUCGUUCCCAAAAGGAUUCGACACUGGAAUGAGUGCAAUUUAAGCAUUUCAACGNAGUAACAACUGGAGGGCAAGUCUGGUGCCAGCAGCCGCGGUAAUUCCAGCUCCAGUAGUGUAUCCUAACGUUGCUGCGGUUAAAACGCUCGUAGUUGGACAAGAGAGUAAGUUGGUGCGGGCGGGGAGUGUAAUUACGCUAUGUUUGUUCUAAUGUCACGAAGUUGAUGAGUGGUAUUCACAUUAUUGUGGAUGUUACUUGUUGAUGGGGUGUAUUAGUUGCAGGAUAGUAGUAGCGCUUGUCGACCAUGCUGCCAGGUUACUUGUAAUAUUUCGUGAGAAUGGCAUAUGGCCUUAAUUGUGUUGUAUGUUAUGUCUUACGUAGUGUGCCUUGAAUAAAUCAGAGUGCUCAAAGCAAGCUAAUUGCUUGAAUGUUAAUAACAUGGAACGAAUGUUUUGUGAAAGUCUAUACAUGGGGGUCUUGUUGCACUUGUGCAGGAAGCCUUUGUGUUGACAGCACCAACCACAAAGCGGAACAUUGGUUGCCGUCUUUGGGUGAGGAUUAAGAGGGGCAUUUGGGGGCAUUAGUAUUUGGCCGCGAGAGGUGAAAUUCUUGGACCGGCCAAGGACUAACAAGUGCGAAAGCAUUUGCCAAGUAUGUUCCCUUUAAUCAAGAACGAAAGUGAGAGGUUCGAAGACGAUCAGAUACCGUCCUAGUUCUCACCGUAAACGAUGCCAACCCGGGAUCAGUUCGGAUGUAUUUUAUUUGGAUCCAGGUUGGUCCCCCUGGGAAACCUUGAGUUUUUAGGUUCCGGGGGGAGUAUGGUUGCAAGGCUGAAACUUAAAGGAAUUGACGGAAGGGCACCACCAGGAGUGGAGCCUGCGGCUUAAUUUGACUCAACACGGGAAAACUCACCUGGUCCGGACAUCGAUAGGAUUGACAGACUAAUAGAUCUUUCAUGAUACGGUGGGUGGUGGUGCAUGGCCGUUCUUAGUUCGUGGAGCGAUCUGUCAGGUUUAUUCCGGUAACGAACGAGACCACGAUCUUCAUUUGGGGAUCUAAAAGGUAGAUUGUCAAUUUGCUUGUAUGCAAGUUGCGUUGCUUGGCAUAUUGUGAUGCAUUCACGUGUAUUGUGGUAUGCUCUAGUGAUUGUAGGUUGUCUAUGAGUGUUGCUAUCUUUGCCUUUUGGUGUGCGUACAGCAAUGUGCGUCCCUAUGGAGAGACAGCCGGAUAUAAAGCCGGAGGAAGCGUGGCAAUAACAGGUCUGUGAUGCCCUUCGAUGUUCAGGGCCGCACGCGCGCUACAAUGAUAACAACAGCGAGAGUCUGGACUGAAAAGUUCUGGGAAAUCUUGUGAAUUGUUAUCGUGAUGGGAAUUGAGCAUUGUAAUUAUUGCUCAUGAAAUAGGAAUUCCUUGUAAAUGUAUCUCACUUAGGAUACGUUGAAUGCGUCUCUGCCCUUUGUACACACCGCCCGUCGCUACUACCGAGUGAAUGGUGUCAUGAUGUUUUGGGACUGGACGUUGUUGGCAGUGCAAACUGCGGACGAUGCUAGGAGCAAGACAAAAUGGCGCAAUUUCGAGGAAGUAAAAGUCGUAACAAGGUUUCCGUAGGUGAACCAGCGGAAG
Molecule: ribosomal RNA, 2142 nt
Filed under: Myxidium chelonarum
Lineage: Eukaryota; Metazoa; Cnidaria; Myxozoa; Bivalvulida; Myxidiidae
Description: SSU rRNA
Rfam family: Eukaryotic small subunit ribosomal RNA
Source: RNAcentral